RNAcentral lists this ribosomal RNA (468 nucleotides) under uncultured bacterium. RNAcentral describes it as "partial 16S ribosomal RNA". It matches the Rfam family "Bacterial small subunit ribosomal RNA", at positions 28 to 507 of the family's 1533-position model. The record is from RNAcentral.
GAUGAACGCUGACAGAAUGCUUAACACAUGCAAGUCGACCGGAAUGUGGGUGUUUAUGUUAGGUUUGGGUGGCGGACGGGUGAGUAACGCGUAAAGAACUUGCCUCACAGCUAGGGACAACAUUUGGAAACGAAUGCUAAUACCUAAUAUUAUGAUAAUAGGGCCUCCUAUAAUUAUGAAAGCUAUAAGCGCUUGGGGAGAGCCUCGCGGCUCAUUAGCUUGUUGGUGGGGUAACGGCUUACCAAGGCGUUGAUGGGUAGCCGGCCUGAGAGGGGGACCGGGCACAAAGGGAACGGGGACACGGCCCUUACUCUUCCGGGAGGAGGCGGUGGGAAUUAUGCGACAAGGGACCGAGAGUCUGAUCGAGACAUUCUGUGUGCACGAUGAAGUUUUUCGGAAUGAAAAGUGCUUUCAGUUGGGAAGAAGCGAGUGACGGUACCAACAGAAGAAGUGACGGCUAAAUACGUG